This 497-nucleotide ribosomal RNA is filed under the name uncultured bacterium. Its description in RNAcentral is "partial 16S ribosomal RNA". It matches the Rfam family "Bacterial small subunit ribosomal RNA", at positions 28 to 507 of the family's 1533-position model. The record is from RNAcentral.
GAUGGACGCUGGCGGCGUGCCUAAUACAUGCAAGUCGAGCGAACGGACGAGAAGCUUGCUUCUCUGAUGUUAGCGGCGGACGGGUGAGUAACACGUGGAUAACCUACCUAUAAGACUGGGAUAACUUCGGGAAACCGGAGCUAAUACCGGAUGAUAUUUUGAACUGCAUGGUUCAAAAGUGAAAGACGGUCUUGCUGUCACUUAUAGAUGGAUCCGCGCUGCAUUAGCUAGUUGGUAAGGUAACGGCUUACCAAGGCAACGAUGCAUAGCCGACCUGAGAGGGUGAUCGGCCACACUGGAACUGAGACACGGUCCAGACUCCUACGGGAGGCAGCAGUAGGGAAUCUUCCGCAAUGGGCGAAAGCCUGACGGAGCAACGCCGCGUGAGUGAUGAAGGUCUUCGGAUCGUAAAACUCUGUUAUUAGGGAAGAACAUAUGUGUAAGUAACUGUGCACAUCUUGACGGUACCUAAUCAGAAAGCCACGGCUAACUACGUG